CUAGACUAAGGUAUGUUUGAUGUUGUUUCAUGAGAUUCAUGCAUGUUUUUAGUUGUUAGUUUCAGUUCUACCUAGCCCAUGGUUUAAAUCUUUGCUAUGAGAUGGAGAUGAUAUUCGGCUAUGAGGGUUGUCUUCUUGGUUGGUGUUUGAUGUUGGGGUGAUGAGGCAUGAAGAUGAGUUAAGUUUCGGCUAAGGUGGAUUUGUUUUGAUGUCAUUUGCAUGCUAAGUGUAAAGCUUUGUAAUGAUACAUGUGAUGGUGUUUGAUGACUCUUGGAUUUUCUUUUUGGCAUUUU
Molecule: long non-coding RNA, 293 nt
Filed under: Gossypium barbadense (sea-island cotton)
Lineage: Eukaryota; Viridiplantae; Streptophyta; Magnoliopsida; Malvales; Malvaceae
Description: long non-coding RNA (GBAR_LNC009021)
Source: RNAcentral